CGCUGGCGGCAGGCUUAACACAUGCAAGUCGAACGCCCCGCAAGGGGAGUGGCAGACGGGUGAGUAACGCGUGGGAACGUACCUUUCAGUUCGGAAUAACUCAGGGAAACUUGUGCUAAUACCGGAUACGCCCGCAAGGGGAAAGAUUUAUCGCUGAAAGAUCGGCCCGCGUUGGAUUAGCUAGUUGGUGGGGUAAAGGCCUGCCAAGGCGACGAUCCAUAGCUGGUCUGAGAGGAUGAUCAGCCACACUGGGACUGAGACACGGCCCAGACUCCUACGGGAGGCAGCAGUGGGGAAUAUUGGACAAUGGGCGCAAGCCUGAUCCAGCCAUGCCGCGUGUGUGAUGAAGGCCUUAGGGUUGUAAAGCACUUUCACCGAUGAAGAUAAUGACGGUAGUCGGAGAAGAAGCCCCGGCUAACUUCGUG
RNAcentral lists this ribosomal RNA (425 nucleotides) under uncultured bacterium. RNAcentral's name for it is "bacterial SSU rRNA". It matches the Rfam family "Bacterial small subunit ribosomal RNA", at positions 34 to 507 of the family's 1533-position model. The record is from RNAcentral.